AGUAAUGCAUCGGAACGUGCCCAUCGGAUGGGGGAUAACUGCGCGAAAGCGUUGCUAAUACCGCAUACGACCUACGGGUGAAAGCAGGGGACCGCAAGGCCUUGCGUCGAUGGAGCGGCCGAUGCCGGAUUAGCUAGUUGGUGAGGUAAAGGCUCACCAAGGCGACGAUCCGUAGCUGGUCUGAGAGGACGACCCAGCCACACUGGGACUGAGACACGGCCCAGACUCCUACGGGAGGCAGCAGUGGGGAAUCUUGGACAAUGGGCGAAAGCCUGAUCCAGCAAUGCCGCGUGUGGGAAGAAGGCCUUCGGGUUGUAAACCACUUUUGGCGGGAAAGAAAUGGUCUGUGCUAAUACCACGGAUUGAUGACGGUACCCGCAGAAUAAGCACCGGCUAACUACGUG
RNAcentral lists this ribosomal RNA (404 nucleotides) under uncultured bacterium. RNAcentral's name for it is "bacterial SSU rRNA". It matches the Rfam family "Bacterial small subunit ribosomal RNA", at positions 109 to 507 of the family's 1533-position model. The record is from RNAcentral.